GGAGAGAUGGCCGAGUGGUUGAUAGCUCCGGUCUUGAAAACCGGUAUAGUUUGCAAAGAACUAUCGAGGGUUCGAAUCCCUCUCUCUCCU
Molecule: transfer RNA, 90 nt
Filed under: Tristicha trifaria
Lineage: Eukaryota; Viridiplantae; Streptophyta; Magnoliopsida; Malpighiales; Podostemaceae
Also listed under: 12 other names
Description: tRNA-Ser
Rfam family: tRNA
About the family: Transfer RNA (tRNA) molecules are approximately 80 nucleotides in length. Their secondary structure includes four short double-helical elements and three loops (D, anti-codon, and T loops).
Source: RNAcentral